UGACGGGAAUAUUGGGACAAUGGGUGAGAGCCUGAUCCAGCCAUCCCGCGUGAAGGAUGACGGCCCUAUGGGUUGUAAACUUCUUUUGUAUAGGGAUAAACCUAGAUACGUGUAUCUAGCUGAAGGUACUAUACGAAUAAGCACCGGCUAACUCCGUGCCAGCAGCCGCGGUAAUUA
This 177-nucleotide ribosomal RNA is filed under the name uncultured bacterium. RNAcentral's name for it is "partial 16S ribosomal RNA". It matches the Rfam family "Bacterial small subunit ribosomal RNA", at positions 353 to 525 of the family's 1533-position model. The record is from RNAcentral.